UCCGAGUUGACCCCGGCAGUCUCCUGCGAGUCCCCGCCAUUACGCGCUGGCAACACAGGACAAGGGUUGCGCUCGUUGCGGGACUUAACCCAACAUCUCACGACACGAGCUGACGACAGCCAUGCACCACCUGUACACCAGUGUCCAAAGAGACCCACAUCUCUGCAGGCUUCUGGCGUAUGUCAAACCCAGGUAAGGUUCUUCGCGUUGCGUCGAAUUAAACCACAUGCUCCACCGCUUGUGCGGGCCCCCGUCAAUUCCUUUGAGUUUCAGCCUUGCGGCCGUACUCCCCAGGCGGAGUGCUUAAUGCGUUAGCUGCGGCACAGAGAGGGUUGAAGACCUCCCCACACCUAGCACUCAACGUUUAGGGCGUGGACUAC
RNAcentral lists this unclassified non-coding RNA (380 nucleotides) under uncultured Actinomycetes bacterium. RNAcentral describes it as "uncultured actinobacterium contains 16S-23S intergenic spacer region". The record is from RNAcentral. Lineage: Bacteria; Bacillati; Actinomycetota; Actinomycetes.